This 464-nucleotide ribosomal RNA is filed under the name Vreelandella stevensii. RNAcentral describes it as "partial 16S ribosomal RNA". It matches the Rfam family "Bacterial small subunit ribosomal RNA", at positions 338 to 795 of the family's 1533-position model. Lineage: Bacteria; Pseudomonadati; Pseudomonadota; Gammaproteobacteria; Oceanospirillales; Halomonadaceae. The record is from RNAcentral.
CCUACGGGUGGCAGCAGUGGGGAAUAUUGGACAAUGGGGGCAACCCUGAUCCAGCCAUGCCGCGUGUGUGAAGAAGGCCCUCGGGUUGUAAAGCACUUUCAGUGAGGAAGAACGCCUGGUGGUUAAUACCCAUCAGGAAAGACAUCACUCACAGAAGAAGCACCGGCUAACUCCGUGCCAGCAGCCGCGGUAAUACGGAGGGUGCGAGCGUUAAUCGGAAUUACUGGGCGUAAAGCGCGCGUAGGUGGCUUGAUAAGCCGGUUGUGAAAGCCCCGGGCUCAACCUGGGAACGGCAUCCGGAACUGUCAAGCUAGAGUGCAGGAGAGGAAGGUAGAAUUCCCGGUGUAGCGGUGAAAUGCGUAGAGAUCGGGAGGAAUACCAGUGGCGAAGGCGGCCUUCUGGACUGACACUGACACUGAGGUGCGAAAGCGUGGGUAGCAAACAGGAUUAGAUACCCGGUAGUC